Molecule: non-coding RNA, 97 nt
Organism: Paramarasmius palmivorus
Lineage: Eukaryota; Fungi; Basidiomycota; Agaricomycetes; Agaricales; Marasmiaceae
Source: the annotation of a GenBank genome assembly
GCCCGCCUAGCUCAAUCGGAUAGAGCGUCAGACUCUUAUGAAGGGGAGUAAACAAUAUCGGAUCUGAAGGCUGCGAGUUCGACCCUCGCGGUGGGCU